AUCCGUUACACACACACACCACACGUUAGCAACAGUUCACUAAAAGCAAAGGAAAAUCCACUCUCUGAUGUCAAGCUAUGACCCAUUAAUUAUUGAUUGCAUUGGAAUUCAGCGUUAGUUGCACAUAAAUUCACUUACCUGUUGGAUCACUGCAUUGGAACUAUGGAAAAAGAUCAGUGGAUUUUGAAAUUUACUCUCAGGUGUUUGGGUACACCAAUAGGCGUAUUUGCACCCCAGUGAAACAAGACGCAUUCUAGAAAAUUCUGGGAAUGUUAUCCAAUCAUGAAUUACCUGACAGGAUUGAAAUCAACUAGCAAUCGUUGGGGGAAGGCAUUUUAACUUUAUAUACCUCUUAGUUUUAAUAUAAUGGUGCGCAAAAUUCAGACAGAAAACGCACGCGACCUGCUGUUGAAUGUUUGUGAAUGUUUUGCAAGUGCUACAAAAGAAACAAAUAGAAUCUCUUAUAGAAUAUCAAUCAUGAAGCAAAGAUAGAUCGCUGCCAAUAACCUAAGAAUCCGAAAAACGUUCCGUGGAACAUACAUAAGGAUAUGGGUAAACGUGUCCAAUUGGAACUGGCUUGUGCAAUGCAACGAGAAAAGUGAUGCCAUAUGAGUUCAGUGGAGGGCAGAAUCAGGAGUUUCACUAUCAGCCUUCGCCUAAACUAAGAUUAAAUAUGCAAAGGGACAGAAAGCAGUAAAUGUUUGGUCUAUUGCUAUACACAAUCACACGGAUCCCAUUCAGUGUUGACUGCGCUUAUUAAAAUCCGUUUUCCAAUGAGUUAUUUCUGUAAUUUGUUAACAUAAAAAAUCUCGAUUCUUGCAAAACAUUAUUUUCGGAACAUCACGUUUCAAAGUUAGGUGACGAGUAAAUGAAGUACCACCACCUCAACCAGUUUUAUUCCCCACAUUUCACAGUUUAAAUAAUGUCUCCUUUGGGACCGCAUAUGUUUCAAUGUAGGGAGAUUGGAAAUAGUUGAGAUAUUUUGACCAAAAUCUGGAUUACUGGAGGUGUUUGAGACCUUCUUUGGAAAAUAACUAUUGUGACAAUCAUAAAAAACGACAAGGUCAUAAAAUUUUAAGCGUGAUUCUCUAGUGAACAGAAAAAGAGGAAAUGGGUUUAAUUUUUUUUGUUAGCAUUUCAAGAGCAGAGGUUAGGGCCACAGCAUUUUACUAUUUUAGUCUUAGACUGCAAACAUCCACAGGUCUCGGCAGAGCAGCAAUAUAAUUUAUUACACUUGUCUUUACUAUAGCUAAUUUGGUCAGUUGGCGAGAGGUGUUGAAACGCUAUGACUUAUAAAUCGAGGAACUUUCACGGACUACUCUUUCACGUACCUCAUUUAAAUAUAUAUGUAUUUUUUUUAAAAAGUCAGAUUCCAUUUUACCAUAACAAACACAACGCAUAUUGACCCAGGCAUGUUACAUCCAUUCAACAUAGUAUUCCAAAUGGUAAUUUUCUACCGAAUUUAUAUUAUUUAGUGAUUUAUAUUAUCGUGCGUCUCUCGUUUAAUGUGUGAAUUUUCUUUUGACUUUUUUUGUUCAUUGUCUUUCUCCUUUAAGGGACAGCGUGAAGAGUUCCACAACUGCUCCCAGAAAAUAAAAGGAGUUUUUAUUUAUAAAUUUACGGGGUAAAGACUUUUCUGGGGUUGACGUAAAAUGUCACUGUUUAAAUAUUAGGAAACAUGAGUAGGUUGCACCGUGGUCCAAUCCUCUGCUUCGUCAUGGUUUGGUACAGUUCCCGGGGAGAAAAAGAUGAAUACAAUCUAUAGGAGAGAGAAAAAGAGACGGUGAUCAUUUAAACAAGAACUGGCAUUUCUCGAUCAGUGGUGCUGGAAUAAAAUUGGAAAAUGUUCUGAAGCUUUUGGAAAAUGAAGAAAAUCGACAUCUUCGAAGUUUGUCAAUCUUUGAAGGAAUUUUGUGGCUUCAUACUGUGUUCUCAUUUAAAGGACACAACUGCUAUUCAGAUUGAGAAAACACAGAUAUUACGUUGUGUUACUGACCAAAGUAGCCUUUUUCAAUCAAGUUCUGUAGCUAUUCUGUUUCACUCCAUGCAAAUAUGUGUUUAUUUACUGUAUACAUAUAAUAUCUGCAUACAUAAGAGAACAGCAUCGUAUAUAUCUUGUUGGUCAAAAUUGUCCUGAACUAGCGUAAUUACUAUAACGUUUCAUAAAAUUCUAUAUCUAUA
This is a long non-coding RNA of Callorhinchus milii (elephant shark), 2181 nucleotides long. RefSeq lists it as uncharacterized. The transcript is spliced from 3 exons. The record is from RefSeq and is a predicted model, not a curated record. Lineage: Eukaryota; Metazoa; Chordata; Chondrichthyes; Chimaeriformes; Callorhinchidae.